This 465-nucleotide ribosomal RNA is filed under the name uncultured bacterium. RNAcentral describes it as "partial 16S ribosomal RNA". It matches the Rfam family "Bacterial small subunit ribosomal RNA", at positions 28 to 507 of the family's 1533-position model. The record is from RNAcentral.
GACGAACGCUGGCGGCGUGCUUAACACAUGCAAGUCGAACGCUGAACCCGCUUCGGUGGGGGAUGAGUGGCGAACGGGUGAGUAACACGUGGGCAACCUGCCCCCGGCUCUGGGAUAACUCCAAGAAAUUGGGGCUAAUACCGGAUGUGACCGCUGGCCGCAUGGUCUGGUGGUGGAAAGGGUUUCCGGCUGGGGAUGGGCCCGCGGCCUAUCAGCUUGUUGGUGGGGUAGUGGCCUACCAAGGCGACGACGGGUAGCCGGCCUGAGAGGGUGACCGGCCACACUGGGACUGAGAGAGGGCCCAGACUCCUACGGGAGGCAGCAGUGGGGAAUAUUGCGCAAUGGGCGGAAGCCUGACGCAGCGACGCCGCGUGGGGGAUGACGGCCUUCGGGUUGUAAACCUCUUUCAGCAGGGACGAAGCGCAAGUGACGGUACCUGCAGAAGAAGCACCGGCCAACUACGUG